GCCCGGCUAGCUCAAUCGGCAGAGCGUGAGACUCUUAAUCUCAAGGUUGCGGGUUCGACCCCCGCGUUGGGCU
This is a non-coding RNA of Coemansia sp. RSA 2708, 73 nucleotides long. The record is from the annotation of a GenBank genome assembly. Lineage: Eukaryota; Fungi; Kickxellomycota; Kickxellomycetes; Kickxellales; Kickxellaceae.